This 523-nucleotide long non-coding RNA is filed under the name Bos indicus x Bos taurus (hybrid cattle). Its description in RNAcentral is "lncRNA (ENSBIXG00005014951.1)". Lineage: Eukaryota; Metazoa; Chordata; Mammalia; Artiodactyla; Bovidae. The record is from RNAcentral.
CUCUGGCCACAGCAGGAACAAGAGGCUCCUCUCCAACUCCUCCAUGAGCACACUCUGGUCCUGGGGCCUGUUCUCUCUCCAUGCAGGAGCUGUCACAAACUCCGGAGGUGGUGGCAAUGCUGGCUACACCACUCAUCCCAGCACCACCGGCCCCAGAGCCCAGUCAUCUGUCAGUGCCUUCACUGCCAGUGUUCAUGGACCACAUAAAACACCAAGAGACAGGGGUCCAGCUGUCUCUGGCAGCUUCACUCCUAUGAGAAAUGGAUGGGAGCAGCAGCAGCAGAAAAAUGGUCUAAUUUAUCAUCAUUCCCCACAACUUGCUCAACCUGAAACUACUCUGUGCCCUUUGGUUUGGAGCUGAGCUCUUUGCCUAUGCCAUUUCCUCUCCUGAUAAGGUAUGCUUCCUGUGUAGUCUUCUCAAUCUAGCUGACAUCUUCUGCCUGUUCCCUGUGUUGAUGGAAUGGAUACUGGAUGACAAAAUUGAAUGGCAACCCUGUCUCAGCCUAAUGCUCGAGCCCAUGCA